ACACACAGCCAUAUCACGCUGUAGCCCAAGACUGGUCAUCCACUGAAGCUAAGCAGGGUUGAGCUGGUCAGUACCUGGAUGGAAGAGAAGAGCAUAACUGCAGCCUGGA
Molecule: ribosomal RNA, 109 nt
Filed under: Sinocyclocheilus anshuiensis
Lineage: Eukaryota; Metazoa; Chordata; Actinopteri; Cypriniformes; Cyprinidae
Source: RNAcentral